Arachis duranensis is the source of this 1220-nucleotide long non-coding RNA. RefSeq lists it as uncharacterized. NCBI's taxonomy places the organism in Eukaryota, Viridiplantae, Streptophyta, Magnoliopsida, Fabales, Fabaceae. The record is from RefSeq and is a predicted model, not a curated record. The transcript is spliced from 3 exons.
GUCUUCCCUUUUCACCCACGGAGCAACACCCAUGGUUUCCCUUCUUCCUCAAACCAACACACCCAGCCGCAGCAGCAGAUCAUUCCCCAUUUCCCCAAUAGAUCGCAACACUCAUGGCUUCCCAUUGCCAUGAAAGAAACCGACACAGAAGCAAAGAGGGAGAGUGUGAGUCACGGCGGAGGAGAGGAGGAGGGCUCUCACCGUCGCGCCACCACUGUGCCAUGGAGAAGAGAAAAACUCGUGCCGCUUUUGCCACUGUUGAUCCAUCGAAGCUGGCGCGGGAGAAGAGGAGGGUAGGGGUGCUGUCUUGCGCCGUCGCCGUCGUGCCUGGGAGCUGCGGCUGCAAGCUCACGGUGCCGUCGUCGCCUUGCCGUCGCGGAGGGGAAAGCUCAGGAGAGAGAGAGAUUGAGAGGGAGACAGAGAGCCCGAGAGCCAAAGAAGGGGAGGAAGGCUGCUGUCACCGCCGUUGUUGGGCUGCUGUCGCCGUUCCUCCAGAAUUGCCACCGUUGGGUCGCUGUGAAGAAGGUUCCGCUGCUGCGAUGCCGCUGCUACCGUGGCUGUCGCAGUGUUCACCGCGUUCUUGGUCACCGCCGGCUGUUCUGAUGCUGUCAAGGGGUUCAGGUCGCCGCCGGUGUCGCUGCCAGAGAAGGGAGCUACAUCUCCGUGAUUUUGACCGCUAAGGGUGGUUCUGUGACUUCUGGAAUUACCGCCGGAGCUUCUGGCUAUUUUGUCAUCGCCGGAAAAGGCUAUCGGUAUGGGUUUUAUGUUGGUUCUCCCUUCCGUUGAGUUUUUUGGGAACCUCAUUGUCGCUGCAUAUGGUUCAGGUCAUCGCUGCCGCUUGAGGUGGCUACCGGGCUGCCGCCGAACCGGUUCGGAGGCCGCCACUGUUCCGGUUCAGCCGCUCCUUCGUUCGAGUUGUUGAGACUGUUGCGAAAAUGGCUUGGAACCGAGGUUUUGGUUGCCGGGAUUUCGAUUGUUGAUUUCGGGUUGAGGCGGAAAGGACUUGAUGAAGCGUUUGGGUUAUGGAAUUUGUGUUUUGAGGAUUUGGGCGCAGAAGUUAUGAAGAGUUUAAUUAUUUGUUAUUGAGUUGCUCUGUAGUGCUUUAGAUUAUUAUUUUUGUACCCUCGCCUUUAUCUUGAUAUAUUCUAUAAGAGGGAUAGGAAUUGUAUUGGUUAAUGUUUGUAAUAUUACUUAUAUAUAUGUAUGUAAAUAUAUAUGGU